UUAUGGCUCAGGACGAACGCUGGCGGCGUGCCUAAUACAUGCAAGUCGAACGGUCUUUCUAUGGAAGCUUGCUUCCACUGAGAAGAUAGUGGCGAACGGGUGAGUAACACGUGGGUAACCUGCCCAUAAGAGGGGGAUAACAUCCGGAAACGGGUGCUAAUACCGCAUAGUUUUCUUGAUCGCAUGAUCGGGAAAGGAAAGACGGCCUUUGUGCUGUCGCUUAUGGAUGGACCCGCGGCGUAUUAGUUAGUUGGUGAGGUAACGGCUCACCAAGACGAUGAUACGUAGCCGACCUGAGAGGGUGAUCGGCCACAUUGGGACUGAGACACGGCCCAAACUCCUACGGGAGGCAGCAGUAGGGAAUCUUCCGCAAUGGACGAAAGUCUGACGGAGCAACGCCGCGUGAGUGAAGAAAGGUUUUCGGAUCGUAAAACUCUGUUGUCAGAGAAGAACAAGUUGGAGAGUAACUGCUCCAGCCUUGACGGUAUCUGACCAGAAAGCCACGGCUAACUACGUGCCAGCCGCAGC
Molecule: ribosomal RNA, 528 nt
Filed under: uncultured bacterium
Lineage: Bacteria
Description: bacterial SSU rRNA
Rfam family: Bacterial small subunit ribosomal RNA
Source: RNAcentral